UACGUAGGGUGCGAGCGUUAAUCGGAAUUACUGGGCGUAAAGCGUACGCAGGCGGCUGCGCAAGACAGGUGUGAAAUCCCCGGGCCCAACCUGGGAACUGCAUUUGUGACUGCGCAGCUAGAGUCCGUAAGAGGGGGGUGGAAUUCCACGUGUAGCAGUGAAAUGCGUAGAGAUGUGGAGGAACACCGAUGGCGAAGGCAGCCCCCUGGGAUGAGACUGACGCUCAUGUACGAAAGCGUGGGGAGCAAACAGG
RNAcentral lists this ribosomal RNA (253 nucleotides) under uncultured bacterium. RNAcentral describes it as "partial 16S ribosomal RNA". It matches the Rfam family "Bacterial small subunit ribosomal RNA", at positions 524 to 776 of the family's 1533-position model. The record is from RNAcentral.